This 468-nucleotide ribosomal RNA is filed under the name uncultured bacterium. RNAcentral describes it as "partial 16S ribosomal RNA". It matches the Rfam family "Bacterial small subunit ribosomal RNA", at positions 28 to 507 of the family's 1533-position model. The record is from RNAcentral.
GAUGAACGCUGGCGGCGUGCCUAAUACAUGCAAGUCGAACGGAAAGACUCUGCUUUUGUGGGUUGCACGAGUGGCGAACGGGUGAGUAACACAUGAGUAACCUGCCCUUGAAGUUGGGGUAACUUUAGGGAAAUGGGGCUAAAAACCGGUAGGAUCUCCUGAUGCACGGUGGUGAUUGGUAAAUGUCGGCGGUUCGGGAUGGUCUCGCGGGUUCUCAGCUUGUUGGUGGGGUAGUGGCUGACCAAGGGUUCGACGGGUAGUAGGCGCGAGAGGGGGACCGGGCACCUGGCGACUGAGAUACGGCCCAGACUCGUACGGGAGGCAGCGGUGGGGAGUAUUGCACAAUGGGCGGACGCCUGAUGCAGCAACGCCGCGUGCGGGAUGACGGGCUUUGGGGUGAGAACAGAUUUGGCCUUAGACAAAGCCUGAGUGACGGUAACGGAUCAGAAAGCCACGGCUAACUACGUG